GGGGCUCUCUCAGGGAAUAAGACCAACUAGACCUCAUCUUCACUGAAUUUAUCGUCCAGCAAGUAAUAAACAUAAAGAGUGGUGAGUGAGAAGAACACAGUGUGACAGGAGCACAUUGCAGGACAAUUGAACAUAUUUUAGGAGUUGGGGAAGAUUGGCACCAGAGGAUGGGAAAACAGCAGCCUCUGACCUUCCAUUUCUUAGAGGUUUCAUGAACUGGACUGCCAAGCAACAUUUGGAUUUUCAGUACUAGGGACAACUCAUAGGUACCUGCUUAGAUUCUGAGUUGGCUCCAUCUAAUGAGAUCCUGAGGACACAUCAGGGCCCAAGAGGAGCUGAUUCACUGGAAGUUCAGGGCACUCUGGUUUUUCCAAGCAGGCUAGGACAGCAUGGAAGUUUAAACUCUCAGUACAGUGAAGCAUGAGCCAGAGAUGGAGUGCCUACUCUCUUUGAUUUGAGUGAAACAUUUACUUAUGAGAAGUAGAUUCAGCAUCUGAGUCACCAGACACUGAAAUAUUACAGCAAAGAUCUUUACGUGUUUCCUACCUCAUCACUACAUACCCACUCAUCUGAGAUGUGUGAUGCUUGACACGGACAGAACUCAAACUGUCUUUUACUACCUAUGAAGGAAGAAAUGAUGAUAGAUCAUAAUUGAAACAACCUACUGAGGAGAGGAAGCUGUUUUCAAGCACCUUCAAGAACUUUAAAAGGGCUCGUUUUAUCAACAAUGUUAAUUAAAAAUCAUUCUUAUUAAAGCAAUUCCUCUAAUUUUCUCUACCAGAUAAAAUUGUAUUAGGCCACUUUCAGUGACAAGAUAUGCUUGACAGAAGAAAAAAGUGUUAAAAUGUUUUACGAAUGAGAUUUUAACUCUUCAGAAUAAGUUUUACAUGCAUUGAUUUUUUUUUUAAGUAAAGUGUUACAUAUUCUAACACAAUUUCACCCCACCCACCCCCUUAAAGUCAAUGAGGAUAUUUAUCUCCUCUCAAUAUAAGGUUGUUUUGUUUUGUUGUUUUGGGGGUUGGGUUUUUUUGUAAAAACUUUUGGAUAUUUUUCCAAAACUAAUGCCAAACAUUUCUUCAUUAUAUCCUAAAAGAAUCACUUUCAUCAAAGUAAAUGUUCAUGAUAAAUGUUAUUAAGUAUAACCAGAAUAAUAACUAAAAAUAGCUCAAAUUGUCUAGCUACAUUUUGUCAACAAUCUUGCUCUAGCCAAGUUCCCCAUUCAUUGCACAAUCUAUAUUUUGGGAAGGACAGAACAUAAUUGCUUCCAAACAAAAUUUCAAGCCUGUGUACAUUUCCUUCCCACCAUCAGUUUCAGUUAAAUGAAUUAAUCUUUGAAAAGGGGGAAAUGCAGAAAGCAGGACUUCUCCCAAAAACACAUUUAAUGUGUAUUUUAUCAAGGGCUUUAAUUAUAAAGUUGUAAUGGGUGAUUUUUGUUAUAAUCAUCACUGGAGAGAUUUCAGUGUUUUAGAGCAGAGAUCCCCAACUCCUGGGCCACAGACCAGUACCAGUCUAUGGCCUGUUAGGAACUGGGCUGCACAGCAGGAGGUGAGCAGCAGGUGAUCAAGUGAAGCUUCAUCUGUAUUUACAGUUGCUCCUCAUCGCUUGCAUUACUGCCUGAGCUUUGUCUCCUGUUAGAUCAGCAACGGCAAUGAGUGGCAGCAUUAGAUUCUCACGGGAGCACAUACCCCAUUGUGAACUGCCCACAUGCAAGGGAUCUAGGUUGCACACUCCUUAUGAGAAUCUAAUGCCUGAUGAUCUGUCACUGACUCCCAUUACCCCCACAUGGGGCCAUCUAGUUGCAGGAAAAUGAGCUCAGGGCUCCCACUGAUUCUACAUUAUGGUGAGUUGUAUAGUUAUUUCAUUAAAUGUAAUAAUAAUAGAAAUAAAGUACACCAUAAAUGUAUUGUGCUUCAAUCAUCCCAGAACCAUCCCCUGCUCUCCUGGUCUGUGGAAAAAUUGUCUUCCACUAAACCAGUCCCUAGUUCCACAAAGGUUGGGGUUUGCUGUUUUACGAUGUUACUUUCAUCUUUCGCCUUAGCAUACCUUGUUCAGACAAGCAGCAAACAGCAAAUGCUAACCUGAUGAAAAGAUACUUAAUCGUACUAAGGCAUAAAAGCAAACCCAAAAAAUAUUUCUAAUAUACUUGAGGCAAUGCUACAUAAAAAUUUUUGUUAGCUUAUUCAAUUGCCUCUUCUAAAGUACAAGUAUGUGAAUUACUCAGCUAGGACACAAGGCACAUUUUUUCUGAGUUGGCAAAUCUUAUUUUAUGGACUAUUCUAGUACCCUUUUAAAAUUCAUCAAAUUUUAACAUUCAAAGCAUAGUAUAUGGAUAUUUAGGGAAUAUGAACAAGUAUAAAAUACAGUUCUUACUCUCAAUCUGAUUACAUCCUAUCAUGGAAAAUAAUCUUCCUGUGGGUGCAUUUUGUCUCAGCUGAAGCCAGACUUCUCCAAUAAUAAAUCACCUACAAUUCAGAGCCAACACUAGACAUGUGAAGAAUUAAAGGCCUGGCAAAUAGAGGUGGCAGAGAGAGGAGUGGUAACAGUGAUAGAUCUGAACUUCUUACCAGAUCCUGACUUGUUACCAGUGAAAAGGUCCUUGAAAUGGAAUCCUUAAAAGAUAAGUCCAUGUAUCCCAGAACUUAAAGUAAAAUUUUUUUAAAAAAAGUUAAAAAAAAGAUAUGUCCUACACAGUGAUUUCUGUAAUAAAGUACACUACAUUUUACAUAAAGUCUUAUUUCUCACAACACUUUGGUGGAGCUCUUUGCAAACAAAUUAACACAUGAAAGAGGUCAGUAAUUUGCUUGAGGUCAUGUAGUUUAUUGAGUGACAAGUUCAGCAAUUAAGGAAUUAUACAAAACAUGUAUGAGUUUUUAAUACUAUUUUGGCUUAAAUGUGAUUAUUUUUGCAUCCUAGAGAUAUAUAUAGGCAUGGGAAAAAAGCCAUGUGUGUAUCAAUGUCAUUAUAGAUCUUCUCUGGAUAAGACUUGGAAUGAUAUUUUCUUCUUGUUUAUGUGUAUUUAUAAUUUAUAAUGAUUGCGUUUUGCUUAUGUCAUAAGAAAUUUUAAGAAUAAAAUUAAAUAGUAACAAUUAA
RNAcentral lists this long non-coding RNA (3090 nucleotides) under Homo sapiens (human). RNAcentral describes it as "non-protein coding lnc-C12orf74-2:4". Lineage: Eukaryota; Metazoa; Chordata; Mammalia; Primates; Hominidae. The record is from RNAcentral.